GAUGAACGCUGGCGGCGUGCCUAAUACAUGCAAGUCGAGCGAAUGGAUUGAGAGCUUGCUCUUAUGAAGUUAGCGGCGGACGGGUGAGUAACACGUGGGUAACCUGCCCAUAAGACUGGGAUAACUCCGGGAAACCGGGGCUAAUACCGGAUAACAUUUUGAACCGCAUGGUUCGAAAUUGAAAGGCGGCUUCGGCUGUCACUUAUGGAUGGACCCGCGUCGCAUUAGCUAGUUGGUGAGGUAACGGCUCACCAAGGCAACGAUGCGUAGCCGAGCUGAGAGGGGGAUCGGCCACACGGGGACUGAGACACGGCCCAGACUCCUACGGGAGGCAGCAGUAGGGAAUCUUCCGCAAUGGACGAAAGUCUGACGGAGCAACGCCGCGUGAGUGAUGAAGGCUUUCGGGUCGUAAAACUCUGUUGUUAGGGAAGAACAAGUGCUAGUUGAAUAAGCUGGCACCUUGACGGUACCUAACCAGAAAGCCACGGCUAACUACGUGCCAGCCGCCGCAGUAA
Molecule: ribosomal RNA, 515 nt
Filed under: uncultured bacterium
Lineage: Bacteria
Description: partial 16S ribosomal RNA
Rfam family: Bacterial small subunit ribosomal RNA
Source: RNAcentral